AGCGAACGCUGGCGGCAGGCUUAACACAUGCAAGUCGAGCGGGCCCUUCGGGGUCAGCGGCGGACGGGUGAGUAACACGUGGGAACGUACCCUUUGGUUCGGAAUAACGCUGGGAAACUAGCGCUAAUACCGGAUACGCCCUUUUGGGAAAAGGCUUGCUGCCGAAGGAUCGGCCCGCGUCUGAUUAGCUAGUUGGUGGGGUAAUGGCCUACCAAGGCGACGAUCAGUAGCUGGUCUGAGAGGAUGAUCAGCCACACUGGGACUGAGACACGGCCCAGACUCCUACGGGAGGCAGCAGUGGGGAAUAUUGGACAAUGGGCGCAAGCCUGAUCCAGCCAUGCCGCGUGAGUGAUGAAGGCCUUAGGGUUGUAAAGCUCUUUUGUCCGGGACGAUAAUGACGGUACCGGAAGAAUAAGCCCCGGCUAACUUCGUGCCAGCAGCCGCGGUAAUACGAAGGGGGCUAGCGUUGCUCGGAAUCACUGGGCGUAAAGGGCGCGUAGGCGGCCAUUCAAGUCGGGGGUGAAAGCCUGUGGCUCAACCACAGAAUUGCCUUCGAUACUGUUUGGCUUGAGUCUGGUAGAGGUUGGUGGAACUGCGAGUGUAGAGGUGAAAUUCGUAGAUAUUCGCAAGAACACCGGUGGCGAAGGCGGCCAACUGGACCAGUACUGACGCUGAGGCGCGAAAGCGUGGGGAGCAAACA
Molecule: ribosomal RNA, 700 nt
Filed under: Methylobacterium sp. enrichment culture
Lineage: Bacteria; Pseudomonadati; Pseudomonadota; Alphaproteobacteria; Hyphomicrobiales; Methylobacteriaceae
Description: bacterial SSU rRNA
Rfam family: Bacterial small subunit ribosomal RNA
Source: RNAcentral